GAUGAACGCUGGCGGCGUGCCUAAUACAUGCAAGUCGAGCGAACAGACGAGGAGCUUGCUCCUCUGACGUUAGCGGCGGACGGGUGAGUAACACGUGGAUAACCUACCUAUAAGACUGGGAUAACUUCGGGAAACCGGAGCUAAUACCGGAUAAUAUAUUGAACCGCAUGGUUCAAUAGUGAAAGACGGUUUUGCUGUCACUUAUAGAUGGAUCCGCGCCGCAUUAGCUAGUUGGUAAGGUAACGGCUUACCAAGGCAACGAUGCGUAGCCGACCUGAGAGGGUGAUCGGCCACACUGGAACGGAGACACGGUCCAGACUCCUACGGGAGGCCGCAGUAGGGAAUCUUCCGCAAUGGGCGAAAGCCUGACGGAGCAACGCCGCGUGAGUGAUGAAGGUCUUCGGAUCGUAAAACUCUGUUAUUAGGGAAGAACAAAUGUGUAAGUAACUAUGCACGUCUUGACGGUACCUAAUCAGAAAGCCACGGCUAACUACGUG
This 497-nucleotide ribosomal RNA is filed under the name uncultured bacterium. RNAcentral's name for it is "partial 16S ribosomal RNA". It matches the Rfam family "Bacterial small subunit ribosomal RNA", at positions 28 to 507 of the family's 1533-position model. The record is from RNAcentral.